RNAcentral lists this long non-coding RNA (251 nucleotides) under Lathyrus oleraceus (garden pea). RNAcentral describes it as "Pisum sativum (pea) long non-coding RNA (PSAT_LNC012776)". Lineage: Eukaryota; Viridiplantae; Streptophyta; Magnoliopsida; Fabales; Fabaceae. The record is from RNAcentral.
AAUCAUGAAAAAUAAUAAUAACGAUCCAAAAAAUGGUUUUAAUUUAAAAUAUGAAAGAGGAUUUUAUUUAAAUUUUUUUGGUGAAACCCUCAUAUUUUUUGGAUCAAUAUUAGAAUUAAUAUGAUUUAAUGAAAAUCAAAGGAAUAAAAUAAAAAUCAGAAAAUACAAAAAAAAACGUGGACCACUUUAUUUCCCUCAUUAAUUGAGAUGACAGAUCAACUGGACACAAACACGCGUUCCAUGAUGGAACU